This 253-nucleotide ribosomal RNA is filed under the name uncultured bacterium. RNAcentral describes it as "partial 16S ribosomal RNA". It matches the Rfam family "Bacterial small subunit ribosomal RNA", at positions 524 to 776 of the family's 1533-position model. The record is from RNAcentral.
UACGUAGGGUGCUAGCGUUAAUCGGAAUUACUGGGCGUAAAGCGUGCGCAGGCGGUUUGCUAAGACCGAUGUGAAAUCCCCGGGCUUAACCUGGGAACUGCAUUGGUGACUGGCAGGCUAGAGUAUGGCAGAGGGGGGUAGAAUUCCACGUGUAGCAGUGAAAUGCGUAGAGAUGUGGAGGAAUACCGAUGGCGAAGGCAGCCCCCUGGGCCAAUACUGACGCUCAUGCACGAAAGCGUGGGGAGCAAACAGG